This 29-nucleotide non-coding RNA is filed under the name Rattus norvegicus (Norway rat). Lineage: Eukaryota; Metazoa; Chordata; Mammalia; Rodentia; Muridae. The record is from RNAcentral.
UUCCAAACAUAAUUCUGUACCUUUGCUGA